RNAcentral lists this long non-coding RNA (331 nucleotides) under Gossypium raimondii (Peruvian cotton). Its description in RNAcentral is "long non-coding RNA (GRAI_LNC002090)". The record is from RNAcentral. Lineage: Eukaryota; Viridiplantae; Streptophyta; Magnoliopsida; Malvales; Malvaceae.
AUUUUUAACAGACAUGCUGGCAUGGCCGUUAGUUGACUAACAGUCAACAUUAACCACUGACAUAAUGGUCCAAAUGUAAUUAAAUGUUAAAAUGACACUAUUUUAUCUUAUAUACCAUGUCAGCAAAUAAUUUUAAAAUUAUUUUUAAAAAACAAUAAAAAAAAAACACUAGUCUCUUCUCCUCAACUCCGUAUUUCUUUCCUACAUUUCAAGUUUCCUACCACAUUUCAAACAAACAAAAAAAAAAACUCACCAUAUUUCUUCUUCAAUCAAAGAUUAAAAAAAAAUCCCACAAAAUAUUUUGAAAAUAAAAACCCAUAAUGGGAAAAAC